RNAcentral lists this ribosomal RNA (253 nucleotides) under uncultured bacterium. RNAcentral's name for it is "partial 16S ribosomal RNA". It matches the Rfam family "Bacterial small subunit ribosomal RNA", at positions 524 to 776 of the family's 1533-position model. The record is from RNAcentral.
UACGUAGGGUGCAAGCGUUGUCCGGAAUUAUUGGGCGUAAAGAGCUCGUAGGCGGUCUGUCGCGUCGGAUGUGAAAACCCAGGGCUCAACCCUGGGCCUGCAUUCGAUACGGGCAGACUAGAGUUCGGUAGGGGAGACUGGAAUUUCCGGUGGAGCGGUGAAAUGCGUAGAGAUCGGAAAGAACACCAACGGCGAAAGCACUCUGCUGGGCCGACACUGACACUGAGAGACGAAAGCUAGGGGAGCGAAUGGG